This 630-nucleotide ribosomal RNA is filed under the name uncultured bacterium. RNAcentral's name for it is "bacterial SSU rRNA". It matches the Rfam family "Bacterial small subunit ribosomal RNA", at positions 56 to 700 of the family's 1533-position model. The record is from RNAcentral.
UGCAGUCGAGCGAGAAGUGUAGCAAUACAUGAGUAAAGCGGCGCACGGGUGAGUAACACGUGGGCAACCUGCCCCGGACACCGGGAUAACCCAGGGAAACCUGAGCUAAUACCGGAUACUCCGGCGUGAUCGCAUGGUCGCGCCGGGAAAGCUCCGACGGUCCGGGAUGGGCCCGCGGCCUAUCAGCUUGUUGGUGGGGUAACGGCCCACCAAGGCGACGACGGGUAGCCGGUCUGAGAGGACGGCCAGCCACACUGGGACUGAGACACGGCCCAGACUCCUACGGGAGGCAGCAGUGGGGGAUCUUGCGCUAAUGCGCGAAAGCGUGACGCAGCGACGCCGCGUGGGGGAUGAAGGCCCUCGGGUUGUAAACCCCUUUCGGCAGGGACGAAGCGAGAGUGACGGUACCUGCAGAAGAAGUCCCGGCUAACUACGUGCCAGCAGCCGCGGUAACACGUAGGGGACGAGCGUUGUCCGGAUUCAUUGGGCGUAAAGCGCGCGUAGGCGGCUCGGAAAGUCGGUCGUGAAAUGCCGGGGCUCAACCCCGGGACUGCGUCCGAUACUCUCGAGCUGGAGGCAGGUAGGGGAGAUCGGAAUUCCAGGUGUAGCGGUGAAAUGCGUAGAUAUCUG